GGAGUUGUGGCUCAGAGAUAGAGCGCUCAUCUAGCACAUGAGAGGCCUUGAGUUCAAUCCUCAGCACCA
Molecule: non-coding RNA, 69 nt
Organism: Ictidomys tridecemlineatus (thirteen-lined ground squirrel)
Lineage: Eukaryota; Metazoa; Chordata; Mammalia; Rodentia; Sciuridae
Source: Rfam